Molecule: long non-coding RNA, 640 nt
Filed under: Homo sapiens (human)
Lineage: Eukaryota; Metazoa; Chordata; Mammalia; Primates; Hominidae
Description: HSALNT0344531
Source: RNAcentral
GUUAUAGGAGGAGUUUUGUCUGUAAACGUUUAUUCAAGAGGCAAAGGUAGCCUUUCUGGCUGAAAACUAGAAACUCAUUCUAUUUAACUAAUGUGUAGUUUGCGGGGAGGUGGGAUUUAGAUGUAUUUAAACCCCACCCCUGAACUAUUGUGAGCUUUCUAGUGUGUGAAGCCAAGAUACCGAACAAGUCGGCAAGAGACAAAAACGGGGAGAUGCCAGGACGAGCAUCCGUUCUGCUCCGCAGUGGCCCGGGGGCCGGUGUUCCCGCAGACACCAGCAGCUGAUCCGCGCACAGAACAGGACCCCGGCCACGGUGAGGAAGAGAGAACGCGCACGCUUCAGAUCUCUGGUCGGAGCGCUGUUAUGGAGUUGGCGGUGGACCUCACGAGUGCCGAGUGCAUUUGCUCCCCGGGGAGGCUCGAUGCUCAGGGACUCCAGGCCUCGGCGUCUGCAGCAGAUAAUCACAGAGGCUUGCCAGGUGGCCUCCGGUGAGCUCCGUGUGGCUGCAGCCCAGCUGGAAUCGCUGAGAUUAGGGAGGAAGAGGGGCCGGUUCCUCAUAGCCCGUGGCACGUGGGAAGGAUGCGCCCCCGGCGUAGAGCCCGCGCUGGGGACCACAAACACGCCCCUCCAGCUGCUACCC